UCCCAUAAGUCUACACGUUCUCUCUCUCUCCCACUUGUCUUCUCUUUUGUAAUUUCUCUCUUCUUGUUCUCACUGUCCUCCAUGGCUGAUCCAUUGAAGGCCCUAUAUCCUUACCACCAAUUCAAUAGCUUGAAUCCAACAAGCAUGAUCUUCCAUGAGUUUUGGCUGCCCCAAACAAUGAUUUUAAGGUUUCGAGAUUCUUGGUGAUGGACCUAAUUGGAUUGCUUGCUUAGGUGGUGGUGCCCGGUUGAGGUAAAAUUGGUUGGCCCCCUGAGGUAAGUAACUUUUAAUGGGAUUUUUUGAAAAUGACCACAUUGCAUAAACUUUGUUUUUGGGCAAACACAUUUUGGAAAAUUAUUUGUGGAACUAUAUUUUCUUAAUAGGUAUUGUGUUGUGGCCCUAUUAUAUAUGAUUGUAUAUGAAAAGAGCAUCAUGUUUAAUAUUGAAUAUGGGGAAAUGCAUGAUUUGUUAGUAUGGAAGAGAUAAACAUCUUUGAUAUAAUUCUUGGGAAUGGAUUUGAUGCAUUGUUUGCAAAUUCUAAAGAUGUUUUAUCUUGACUUGUGAUAUUUUAGAAAUGGAUAGAAAAUGUUAUUGACAAGAAAUGAUUUUGAAAAAUUUGGGAACCUUGUGAAUAUAUUGGGUAUUUCAAAGGUUUUUGUGUAACUACUUGAAAUUGGACUGUGUUUUGAAUUCAUGUAAUCUGUGAGCUCUUUAUGUUUUACCCUUAUGCUGUUAUGUGUGAUUACCCGGUGAUCACCUAGCUAGAUACUAUAGUCUAUGUGACAUUGGUAUCUUAGCACCUGUCUUUGUGACGGCAUAUGAGUUCCGUCUUUGUGACGGCGUUGAGUUUCGUCUUUGUGAUGGUAGAUUAGUUCCGACUGUGUAUCGGCAAUGAGUUUUGGUUGUGUGUCGGUGAUGAGUUUCGUCUUUGUGAUGGCAGAUUAAUUCCGGCUAUGUGUUGGCAAUAAGUUCUGUUUUUGUGACGGCAGAUGAGUUCCGUCUUUGUGACGACGCUGUCACAUGGCCUUGGGUUGGAUUUUCAGGUUUUAAAACGAUGUUUUCAUAGCUCACAGUAAAUAGUAUGUAGUUUCAUGUUGAAAUAUUUUGAGAAAUCUUGGUGCUAUAUUCUUUUAAUCAUUCUUGUCAUUUUAUUAAGAAAAAUAGUCUUUAAUAAUCCAAAUGGAAAUUCCCAAAGUAUAACAUGUUUUGUAAGAUGCCCAUUAGCUUAUCCCACUCUCCAACAGUUUUUCAGAUAACUUUGCUAUACCUUGGGCAUAGAGCUUGUUUUAUUGGUGGUAAUUGGAGCAUCAUGCUAAUUGAGAGAUUUAUGCUAUGAUUGGUUGGUGACUCAACUUCCUAAAUUUAUUGAGGCCAUAGCUAAUUCUAUAGGAGGUUGGGCCCUUGAGGUUUGUUAGCCUUGGGCAUAGUAGGCAUAGAUUCUAUUGUCGUGGUUGCCUUUCCUUGGAAGGAUUGUGAUAUGAUGUUGAUCCAUUUGGAAUUUUGGAAUUUUGUAUAUAUUUGGAGACGUUAUUUGUAAUUCAUAUUAUUUGUAAAUGUGUUAUAGAGUUUUGACUUGUAA
Long non-coding RNA from Quercus lobata, 1579 nucleotides. RefSeq lists it as uncharacterized. The transcript is spliced from 2 exons. The record is from RefSeq and is a predicted model, not a curated record. NCBI's taxonomy places the organism in Eukaryota, Viridiplantae, Streptophyta, Magnoliopsida, Fagales, Fagaceae.